This is a long non-coding RNA of Macadamia integrifolia, 316 nucleotides long. RefSeq lists it as uncharacterized. Lineage: Eukaryota; Viridiplantae; Streptophyta; Magnoliopsida; Proteales; Proteaceae. The record is from RefSeq and is a predicted model, not a curated record. The transcript is spliced from 3 exons.
GAGAGAGAAAAGAAGGAAAGAAAAGGGAAGAAGAAGGAAGGAAAAGGAAGAAAAAGAGGAAGAAAUGCUUAUAGUGCGACGCCAAGGUUAGAUCUUUCCAUUUCGGCGUCAAAAAAGUGAUCCUCGUAAUGAGAUCUACGAUUUGAGGUUUUAGAUGAAGAAAUCAUAAGAUUUGAAGAGCAUUUGAUGACUUCUUGAGUUAAAGAAGAGAUUUGGAGUUUUGAAGGUGUUCUUGAGAAAAGAGGUUUUGCUAGAACCUUGCAUCAUCGCACGCCGAAUCUCCCUCGUACCGAGGGUGAACAUUGUACAUAUCUAG